CCGAGUGAGGGUGUCGCCUCGGCGCGCCCGACCUCCCAACCCUUUGUCUACCUUACCACAACGUUGCUUCGGCAGGCCCGCCAACCCCCAGGGAACACCACCCCGGGGCGAGGCCGCCGGGGGCCCUCGUGCCCCGGGCCCGCGCCUGUCGACGGCCCCUCUCAAACUCAUGUCUAAACGUGUCGUCUGAGUUAUGAUUAUAAUGCAAACCA
RNAcentral lists this unclassified non-coding RNA (212 nucleotides) under uncultured Phialophora. RNAcentral describes it as "sequence contains ITS1". The record is from RNAcentral. Lineage: Eukaryota; Fungi; Ascomycota; Leotiomycetes.